UUUGGGUGAUUUAAUUUACAUUUUUUAAUGGUCCACUUGGUUGAAAAUUUAAAGGUUAAAAAGAAGAAUAUACAAUGAGGUCUCUAUUCUGCUGUCCUCACUAAGUUGCUCUAUCUAGAAGCAGUCAGCAUGACUACUUUCUUCUGAAUCUCUGCAGAAAUACUCUUACAGACAGACAAGAUUAGACCGGAGUCUGUGCUCUCUCUUUUUUCCAGGUUUUUUUUGGUGCAGUGAUUAACACACCCACUCUUCCACACACUGGUGUGUGUGUGUGUGUGUUCCUUGCUUAUUAAUAGAUCUCAGAUAUAUUCCCACAUAUCUUGUUUAUUUAACUAUUCCCCUACUGCCAGACCUUAGGUUAUGGGUUGUUCUCUCCUCUGCCAAUCUCUGCAUCUACAGUGGCUGCUCUUCCUCUUCAUGGAUUGAGCCACUUCUUCACAAUGGCCUUGGUCCCCC
RNAcentral lists this long non-coding RNA (456 nucleotides) under Bos taurus (domestic cattle). Its description in RNAcentral is "long non-coding RNA NONBTAT024994". Lineage: Eukaryota; Metazoa; Chordata; Mammalia; Artiodactyla; Bovidae. The record is from RNAcentral.